UACGUAGGGUGCAAGCGUUGUCCGGAAUUAUUGGGCGUAAAGAGCUCGUAGGCGGCUCGUCACGUCGGCUGUGAAAACCCGGGGCUCAACCCCGGGCCUGCAGUCGAUACGGGCGAGCUCGAGUUCGGCAGGGGAGACUGGAAUUCCUGGUGUAGCGGUGAAAUGCGCAGAUAUCAGGAGGAACACCGGUGGCGAAGGCGGGUCUCUGGGCCGACACUGACGCUGAGGAGCGAAAGCGUGGGGAGCGAACAGG
Molecule: ribosomal RNA, 253 nt
Filed under: uncultured bacterium
Lineage: Bacteria
Description: partial 16S ribosomal RNA
Rfam family: Bacterial small subunit ribosomal RNA
Source: RNAcentral